RNAcentral lists this ribosomal RNA (429 nucleotides) under Pseudomonadota bacterium. RNAcentral describes it as "Proteobacteria bacterium partial 16S ribosomal RNA". It matches the Rfam family "Bacterial small subunit ribosomal RNA", at positions 355 to 776 of the family's 1533-position model. Lineage: Bacteria; Pseudomonadati; Pseudomonadota. The record is from RNAcentral.
UGGGGAAUAUUGGACAAUGGGCGAAAGCCUGAUCCAGCCAUGCCGCGUGUGUGAAGAAGGUCUUCGGAUUGUAAAGCACUUUAAGUUGGGAGGCAGGGCAGUAAGCGAAUACCUUGCUGUUUUGACGUUACCGACAGAAUAAGCACCGGCUAACUCUGUGCCAGCAGCCGCGGUAAUACAGAGGGUGCAAGCGUUAAUCGGAAUUACUGGGCGUAAAGCGCGCGUAGGUGGUUCGUUAAGUUGAAUGUGAAAGCCCCGGGCUCAACCUGGGAACUGCAUCCAAAGCUGGCGAGCUAGAGUAGGGCAGAGGGUGGUGGAAUUUCCUGUGUAGCGGUGAAAUGCGUAGAUAUAGGAAGGAACACCAGUGGCGAAGGCGACCACCUGGGCUCAUACUGACACUGAGGUGCGAAAGCGUGGGGAGCAAACAGG